Molecule: ribosomal RNA, 619 nt
Filed under: uncultured fungus
Lineage: Eukaryota; Fungi
Description: LSU rRNA
Rfam family: Eukaryotic large subunit ribosomal RNA
Source: RNAcentral
ACCCGCUGAACUUAAGCAUAUCAAUAAGCGGAGGAAAAGAAACCAACAGGGAUUGCCUCAGUAACGGCGAGUGAAGCGGCAACAGCUCAGAUUUGAAAGCCGGGUCAAACCAGCAUUGUAAUCUGCAGAGGAACGUUUGGCAGCGGUCAGGGACCAAGUCUUCUGGAAUGAAGCGCCUCAGAGGGUGAGAGCCCCGUACUUUCCGAGACCAACGCCGUUUAAGCGUCCUUCGACGAGUCGAGUUGUUUGGGAAUGCAGCUCAAAUAGGGUGGUAAAUUCCAUCUAAAGCUAAAUAUUGGCCAGAGACCGAUAGCGCACAAGUAGAGUGAUCGAAAGAUGAAAAGCACUUUGGAAAGAGAGUUAAAAAGUACGUGAAAUUGUUGAAAGGGAAGCGCUAGCGAUCAGAUUUGGGCUCAGUUGUUCCCCGCUCUUAGGGGCGGUUACUCUUCUGUUUCGAAGCCAGCAUCGGUUUCCGCGGUCGGAUAAAGGCAUUGGGAACGUGGCCAUCUUCGGGUGGUGUUAUAGCCCUUUGCAUAAUACGGCCCGUGGGGACCGAGGAACGCGCAUUCUUGCCAGGAUGCUGGCGUAAUGGUCGUUAGCGGCCCGUCUUGAAACACGG